GGAAGGAUCAUUAAAAAUAUGGUGAUGCUGCCGUGGCACACAUUGUCUUCAUUUCACUCUGAGUACCUUUCCUGUUGCUUCCGUAGGGUUCGGCGAGUCACAUGUGUCGCCUUCUGCCCUUGGGGAUCAAAGAUAUCGAUCCUCAUUGGGGAGAUCCUGCGGGAGGAAAGCAUUCAAACUCUUUGUAUUCGAAUGGCAUUCGGUCUGAUCUUGGUAAGGAAACAUUAAAACUUUCAGCAACGGAUCUCUUGGUUCUCGCAUCGAUGAAGAACGCAGCGAAAUGCGAAAAGUAGUGUGAAUUGCAGAAUUCAGUGAAUCAUCGAAUCUUUGAACGCACAUUGCGCCUCGCGGUAUUCCGUGAGGCAUGCCUGUUUGAGCGUCAUUGAAAGUAGUUCAAGCUUUUAUUUGCUUGGUCGUGGUGGAUGAGGGACUGACUGUUCUCUCACCUCCAAAAUUGAAUGGCGGAUUAACAGCAGGUGCCCUGGCGUUGUAUGACAAAGCCCCCUCGCCUUGGCCGCUGGAGUAAUCCUGCCCGCCAAUCCCCAUGAUAUUUCAAGAUUGACCUCGGAUCAGGUAGGG
RNAcentral lists this ribosomal RNA (579 nucleotides) under uncultured fungus. RNAcentral's name for it is "eukaryotic LSU rRNA". The stretch from base 229 to 382 matches the Rfam family "5.8S ribosomal RNA". Lineage: Eukaryota; Fungi. The record is from RNAcentral.